CCCUUAGACGUUCUGGGCCGCACGCGCGCUACACUGACCAGUGCAACAAGCAUCCGUCCUUGGCCGACAGGCUCGGGCAAUCUUUGAACGCUGGUCGUGAUGGGGAUAGACCUUUGCAAUUAUGGGUCUUCAACGAGGAAUUCCUAGUAAACGCAAGUCAUCAGCUUGCAUUGAUUACGUCCCUGCCCUUUGUACACACCGCCCGUCGCACCUACCGAUUGAAUGGUCCGGUGAAAUCUCGGGACGGCGGCUUGGUCGCUUGCGUCCGACUGCUGAAACUUGAUUAAACCAUAUCAUUUAGAGGAAGGUGAAGUCGUANCA
Molecule: ribosomal RNA, 321 nt
Filed under: uncultured eukaryote
Lineage: Eukaryota
Description: partial 18S ribosomal RNA
Rfam family: Eukaryotic small subunit ribosomal RNA
Source: RNAcentral